Non-coding RNA from Pelobates cultripes (western spadefoot toad), 202 nucleotides. NCBI's taxonomy places the organism in Eukaryota, Metazoa, Chordata, Amphibia, Anura, Pelobatidae. The record is from the annotation of a GenBank genome assembly.
CUGUAAUAAAACUAGAAAAUGUAUCUGUUCUUUCAAGAUUAACAGUAUGGCAAGCUUUACAAGAGUUACAACCUCUAAAGGAAUGAUUGUCAACAGGUUUUCGAUUACCCUCGAGAUUUUUUAUGGCAUAACUAGGUGCCAAAGUGUUCUUAAAAUUCUGAUUUUUUUCUAAAGAUAAGUUUAGGCUGAUCUGGUAAAAUAG